RNAcentral lists this ribosomal RNA (893 nucleotides) under uncultured archaeon. Its description in RNAcentral is "bacterial SSU rRNA". It matches the Rfam family "Archaeal small subunit ribosomal RNA", at positions 6 to 903 of the family's 1478-position model. The record is from RNAcentral.
GGUUGAUCCUGUUCCGGACCUGACUGCUAUCGGAUUGGUACUAAGCCAUGUGAGUCGUUGCAGCAAUGCAAGGCAGACGGCUCAGUAACACGUAGUCAACCUAACCUAUGGACGGGGAUAACCUCGGGAAACUGAGAAUAAUACCCGAUAGAUCAUGAUACCUGGAACGGUUUAUGGUCCAAAUGAUUUAUCGCCAUAGGAUGGGACUGCGGUCUAUCAGCUUGUUGGUGAGGUAAUGGCCCACCAAGGCUAUAACAGAUACGGGCUCUGAGAGGAGGGGCCCGGAGAUGGGUACUGAGACACGGACCCAGGUCCUAUGGGGCGCAGCAGGCGAGAAACCUUUGCAAUGUGCGAAAGCACGACAAGGUUAAUCCGAGUGAUUCCUGCUAAAGGAAUCUUUUGUUAGUCAUAAAACCACUGAUGAAUAAGGGGUGGGCAAGUUCUGGUGUCAGCCGCCGCGGUAAUACCAGCACCUCGAGUGGUCAGGAGGUUUAUUGGGCCUAAAGCAUCCGUAGCCGGCUGUUCAAGUUUCCGGUUAAAUCCACACGCUUAACGUAUGGGCUGCCGGAAAUACUGUUCAGCUAGGGAGUGGGAGAGGUAGACGGUACUCGAUAGGUAGGGGUAAAAUCCUUUGAUCUAUUGAUGACCACCUGUGGCGAAGGCGGUCUACCAGAACACGUUCGACGGUGAGGGAUGAAAGCUGGGGGAGCAAACCGGAUUAGAUACCCGGGUAGUCCCAGCUGUAAACGAUGCAGACUCGGUGAUGCAUUGGCUUGUGGCCAGUGCAGUGCCGCAGGGAAGCCGUUAAGUUUGCCGCCUGGGAAGUACGUACGCAAGUAUGAAACUUAAAGGAAUUGGCGGGGGAGCACCACAAGGGGUGAAGCCUGCGGUUC